UGGCUCCGUUCCGGGGUCCGAGUUGUAAUUUGGAGAGGAUGCUUCGGGCGCGGCACCGGUCUAAGUCCCUUGGAACAGGGCGUCAUAGAGGGUGAGGAUCCCGUAUGUGACCGGCGACCAAGUCCAGGUGAAGCUCCUUCGACGAGUCGAGUUGUUUGGGAAUGCAGCUCAAAAUGGGUGGUAAAUUUCAUCUAAAGCUAAAUACCGGCCAGAGACCGAUAGCGCACAAGUAGAGUGAUCGAAAGAUGAAAAGCACUUUGGAAAGAGAGUCAAAAAGUACGUGAAAUUGUUGAAAGGGAAGCGCUUGUAACCAGACCUGCCGUCGGGUGCUCAGCGGGCACUUGUGCCCGCCUAUUCACCCGCGAUCAGGCCAGCAUCGGUUUUGGCGGCCGGAUAAAGACUCGAGGAAUGUAGCUUCGCUUCGGGGAAGUGUUAUAGCCUCGGGUGCAAUACGGCCAGCCGGGACCGAGGACCGCGCUUCGGCUAGGAUGCUGGCGUAAUGGUUGCAAGCGACCCGUCUUGAAACACGGACCAAGGAGUCUAACAUCUAUGCGAGUGUUUGGGUGUCAAACCCAUGCGCGGAAUGAAAGUGAACGGAGGUGGGAACCCUCAAGGGCGCACCAUCGACCGAUCCGGAAGUUUACGGAUGGAUUUGAGUAUGAGCAUAGCUGUUGGGACCCGAAAGAUGGUGAACUAUGCCUGAAUAGGGUGAAGCCAGAGGAAACUCUGGUGGAGGCUCGCAGCGGUUCUGACGUGCAAAUCGAUCGUCAAAUUUGGGUAUAGGGGCGAAGUAAGCAUCCCCGGUCCCUUACUUUCUGGUGUAACAAUUGCUAACAUAUCAUUAACAGAGACUAAUCGAACCAUCAAUUCGCUACUAGGUGGUUAAGCGGAAGGGGUUGGUGAUACUCCCCCAUUUUCAGCCCUCCGGGGCGACAAUGCUAAAUGCAUGGAUUCCUCCCGGGAGGGAGCUUAACAUGCAGCAGCCCACAAGACGAUAUUCCGAUAUCGUUGGCUGUCCACAGACCAAAUAGCGUUGGCCGGGUAUCCCUGGUUUUGAUAUGGUCGAGUCUUGCCUGUAAUAGGGUUUUGGCCCUCAAACCGUUCCUGUGUGGUUCUUACUGGUGCAUUAAGUUGGGGUUGUAGCUUUUUGUACCCUGUGGGACCCUCUACAGGGCUUGGGGGCCUUAGGUACGAACGCUAGUAGCUGGUUCCUGCCGAAGUUUCCCUCAGGAUAGCAGUAACGUUUUCAGUUUUAUGAGGUAAAGCGAAUGAUUAGAAGCCUUGGGGAUGAAACAUCCUUAACUUAUUCUCAAACUUUAAAUAUGUAAGAAGUCCUUGUUACUUAGUUGAACGUGGACAUUUGAAUGCACCGUUACUAGUGGGCCAUUUUUGGUAAGCAGAACUGGCGAUGCGGGAUGAACCGAACGUGGGGUUAAGGUGCCGGAAUGUACGCUCAUCAGACACCAGGGGGGAGACUUGUGGUGUCGGGCUGGGGGGAGAACCCCCAGCGUCAGUCUGCUCAAGGCGAGGUCUUUGACCUGUUAGGGGUCGGUGGUCGCUCCGCGAUGGCCUACCCUCCGCUGUCCCCUCCCGCGGGGGCAGCUCACAGAUCAAGCAAAGGCCGGCGGCAGGAUGCCGUUGGAGAUAUGAUCGGCCCCUGGAG
Molecule: ribosomal RNA, 1663 nt
Filed under: Niebla dilatata
Lineage: Eukaryota; Fungi; Ascomycota; Lecanoromycetes; Lecanorales; Ramalinaceae
Description: partial large subunit ribosomal RNA
Rfam family: Eukaryotic large subunit ribosomal RNA
Source: RNAcentral